RNAcentral lists this long non-coding RNA (225 nucleotides) under Mytilus galloprovincialis (Mediterranean mussel). The record is from RNAcentral. Lineage: Eukaryota; Metazoa; Mollusca; Bivalvia; Mytilida; Mytilidae.
UGUUCCAGAUUCUAAAACAUUCGAUGUGACUUUGAUGAUACUUUUACUGAGGAAUUUGACUCCAAUCACCCCUCCUCUUUGUGGAUUUGACCAUUUACCUUCUGCAAUAGAAACCGCACCAGCUGCAGACUUAGCAAGGAUCAAACACUACAGGAAUUACCUGGCUCAUCUGAAUGAUGUCAAACUUGAAACAGGGUUCUUCAAUACUGCUUGGAAUGAUAUAAC